GGAAGAUUGCCAGAGUGGCUGAAUGGGCUCCCCUGCUAAGGGAGUGAACACUUCAUUGUGUUCCGAGGGUUCGAAUCCCUCAUCUUCCUCCA
This 92-nucleotide transfer RNA is filed under the name Candidatus Altimarinota bacterium. RNAcentral describes it as "tRNA-Ser". It matches the Rfam family "tRNA". Rfam says of the family: Transfer RNA (tRNA) molecules are approximately 80 nucleotides in length. Their secondary structure includes four short double-helical elements and three loops (D, anti-codon, and T loops). Lineage: Bacteria; Candidatus Altimarinota. The record is from RNAcentral.